This 222-nucleotide ribosomal RNA is filed under the name uncultured bacterium. RNAcentral's name for it is "partial 16S ribosomal RNA". It matches the Rfam family "Bacterial small subunit ribosomal RNA", at positions 15 to 234 of the family's 1533-position model. The record is from RNAcentral.
GAUCUGGCUCAGGAUGAACGCUAGCGGCAGGCUUAACACAUGCAAGUCGAGGGGCAGCGCGGAGUAGCAAUACUCUGGCGGCGACCGGCGGAAGGGUGCGUAACACGUGAGCGACUUGCCCGUCACAGGGAGAUAACCGCUGGAAACGGCGACUAAUAUCCCAUAUGAUGGCGAUCUGCAUGGAUUGUCAUUGAAAGAUUCAUCGGUGACGGAUAGGCUCGG